Molecule: ribosomal RNA, 1236 nt
Filed under: metagenome
Description: bacterial LSU rRNA
Rfam family: Bacterial large subunit ribosomal RNA
Source: RNAcentral
UGAGUACGAGAUGCUACGGCAUCGAAGCAGUCUAUGUCAUACUUCCAAGAAAAGCUUGCAAUGUCAUAAACAAAUAAUGCCUGUACCAUAACCGACACAGGUGGGUAGGUAGAGUAUACUAAGGGGCGCGAGAUAACUCUCUCUAAGGAACUCGGCAAAAUGACUCCGUAACUUCGGGAGAAGGAGUGCCUUAUUUUUAUAAGGUUGCAAUAACAAGAUCCAAGCAACUGUUUACCAAAAACACAGGUCUCCGCUAAGUCGUAAGACGAUGCAUGGGGGCUGACGCCUGCCCAGUGCCAGAAGGUUAAAGAAGUUGGUUAGCAUUAGCGAAGCUGAUAACUGAAGCCCUGGUGAACGGCGGCCGUAACGAUAACGGUCCUAAGGUAGCGAAAUUCCUUGUCGGGUAAGUUCCGACCCGCACGAAAGGCGUAAUGAUUUGGAUACUGUCUCGGAGAGGGGCUCGGUGAAAUAGACUUGUCUGUGAAGAUGCGGACUACCUGCACCUGGACAGAAAGACCCUAUGAAGCUUUACUGUAACUUGAGAUUGAAAUUGGACUUUAUCUGCGCAGUAUAGGUGGGAGACGUUGAAAAUAUUCUUGCGGGAAUAUUGGAGUCAUCAGUGAGAUACCACUCUUAUAAUGUUAGAUUUCUAACUUUGUAUCAUUAUCUGGUCAAAGAACAGUUUCAGGCGGGCAGUUUGACUGGGGCGGUCGCCUCCCAAACGGUAACGGAGGCGCACAAAGGUUUCCUCUGAACGUGUAGAAAUCGUAUCUAGAGUGUAAAGGCAUAAGGAAGCUUGACUGUGAGACCUACAAGUCGAGCAGGGACGAAAGUCGGUCUUAGUGAUCUGACGGUGCUGAGUGGAAAGGCCGUCACUCAACGGAUAAAAGUUACUCUAGGAUAACAGGCUGAUCUCCCCCAAGAGUUCACAUCGACGGGGAGGUUUGGCACCUCGAUGUCGGCUCAUCGCAUCCUGGGGCGGUAGUACGUCCCAAGGGUUGGGCUGUUCGCCCAUGAAAGCGGUACGCGAGCUGGGUUCAGAACGUCGUGAGACAGUUCGGUCCAUAUCCGGUGUAGGCGUUAGAAUAUUGAGAGGAGCCUUCUUUAGUACGAGAGGACCGAGAAGGACAUACCUCUGGUGUACCAGUUAUCGUGCCAACGGUAAACGCUGGGUAGCCAUGUAUGGAGAGGAUAACCGCUGAAAGCAUCUAAGUGGGAAGCCCACCUCAAGAUAAG